Molecule: long non-coding RNA, 228 nt
Organism: Ailuropoda melanoleuca (giant panda)
Lineage: Eukaryota; Metazoa; Chordata; Mammalia; Carnivora; Ursidae
Exons: 4
Source: RefSeq, a predicted model, not a curated record
GCCCUUUGGGAGGUAUAUUAUUUCUGUCCCUGUGGAUUCCCUUCCCUCUGUGACAACUCAGUUAUGUUCUCCCAAGUUGUAGAGGAUAUGAAGAUGGAGAAAGGGUUUUUAAAAACGGCUCUCUAAGAUGGAUGCAAUUACCACCAAUUUAUCCUGCAUUUUCAGGAAUUCAAUACCUCCAGCUCCAGUUCCUCUGUGGAGUACUUCAUCAUCUGGCAUGUGACCUCA